Long non-coding RNA from Acanthaster planci (crown-of-thorns starfish), 1336 nucleotides. RefSeq lists it as uncharacterized. The record is from RefSeq and is a predicted model, not a curated record. Lineage: Eukaryota; Metazoa; Echinodermata; Asteroidea; Valvatida; Acanthasteridae.
AAAGUAGGAUAUAAACAGACACAACGUUGAAGACAUAAAAGGUUCAGCCUAAUGUUAGUUUUGCUUCAUCUACACGGAUGUUGGAUUACUACUUUGUUGUCAUUUGAAAAUAUGAAGAUAUAGGUUUCUCGACCACUCGAUGAAAAUCGUUACUAUAUUACACACUGAAGUUGACUUCACAUCAUCCUAGUUUUCCUGUAUAAACGAGGAUUCUCAGCUGUCAUGGCGGGUCGUUUUUGCCUGACAGUUUUGGUCAUAUUUUUUCUGAGCGUCAGUCUGGUCGUCCGUACAGAUGCUGAUGAGUCUGACGUUACUUCAGAGGAAGCUGCGCUUCAGAGGAAUCUGGAGAGAGCUAUUCGGGACGCCGGUCUCAACGAUUGUGCGACUCGAGGGGUGAACGUCAACCGUCUUGACGGUGACAUACAUCGCCAUGGAAAGGUCCGAAAGGUUAGAAGGAGAAGACGGAAGUAUUACGGCCACGGUGGACUUCCACCGGAACAAAACGGAGAGCAUUCAAAACGUUCUUGGUUUCAUACAUCCGUUUCGUAGAGCAAUCUUAGUUACAUUUGGAAGAUUUUCCGAAUAUUGACAUGCAGAAUAUGAUUUACACAGCUGCACCUCUGUUGUUAAAAUGCAGCUGAAAUUUGUUUAAUAAAGACGAAUUACGAAUAGAUAUUUUUUCUUCAAAUUUCAUUCUCUUCUUCAUCAUACUACAAAAUCUGUGCCCAACUUUCCGUUAAAGGUACUGAAAGACUUAAUUCUUUAAUCAUUCAAAAUUCUCCAUGCUUUUCAUGCAACCCGGGACGCAGUUGCUGUGAUGUCAUUCAGGGGAGAUUUGGCUUAGCAAUACGUUUUUCCAUUCGAAUUGUGCACACAUAAUUUACUCAAUGGAAAUAUCUCUGCAAAAGCGCUGACAACUUGCUCAUUACAAUGCAUUUACACAACAAUGAAUAUCUAAAGAACCGAAAAUGUCUGACAACAAAAUCUGUCAAACUUCAGUCAGUUAGUUUCUGUGUACAAACCGAUGUAACACUGAAUUGUUCUUAAUAGGAGAGCAUCACAGACUCGCUCAUUGAUAUGGAAAUGCUUUGAGAUCUUUGAAGAAAAGGAUUCAAUUACAAACCAGUUGUACCUAUCAUUUAAUGAAGUAGCAUCAUCCCGAAACUGGUUAUGUAUUAAAAUGCUCCCUAUUUUAUUGAGAUGUUUUCGUUUCCAUGGAAACGAGUAUAUUUCACUAGGCUUGGGGAACAUAUUACUUUACCUGUUUAAAUAUUCGGUCUGUAUAGGAAGAGAGCCGUUAAUGUAUCCAGAAAUAUAUAAAAAGUACUGUUCCACU